RNAcentral lists this ribosomal RNA (398 nucleotides) under uncultured bacterium. Its description in RNAcentral is "bacterial SSU rRNA". It matches the Rfam family "Bacterial small subunit ribosomal RNA", at positions 9 to 416 of the family's 1533-position model. The record is from RNAcentral.
GAGUUUGAUCUUGGCUCAGAUUGAACGCUGGCGGCAUGCCUAACACAUGCAAGUCGCGCGGAGUGUAGCAAUACACUUAGCGGCGGACGGGGUGAGGAAUACAUAGGAAUUUGCCCUUAAGCGGGGGAUAGCCCGGGGAAACUCGGAGUAAUACCGCAUGAUGUCGAAAGACCAAAGCCGGGGACCGCAAGGCCUGGCACUUUUGGAGAAGCCUAUGUCCGAUUAGCUAGUUGGUAGGGUAAUGGCCUACCAAGGCGACGAUCGGUAACUGGUCUGAGAGGACGAUCAGUCACACCGGAACUGAGACACGGUCCGGACUCCUACGGGAGGCAGCAGUGGGGAAUAUUGGACAAUGGGCGCAAGCCUGAUCCAGCAAUGCCGCGUGUGUGAAGAAGGCC